GAAAUCACCCAGGAAGGUUUUGACGCCAGAGUCAAAACCCUGCUGUCCAGCGCACAGAGAGAGGGGACAGCACAAGUCUUCAAAGCAGACACAUCAACUGAGAGCAGAGAUGCAAUGAUAGCAUCACUGUUUCAAAAAGGACUCAAACAGA
This is a long non-coding RNA of Melanotaenia boesemani (Boeseman's rainbowfish), 151 nucleotides long. RefSeq lists it as uncharacterized. The record is from RefSeq and is a predicted model, not a curated record. Lineage: Eukaryota; Metazoa; Chordata; Actinopteri; Atheriniformes; Melanotaeniidae. The transcript has 3 exons.